AUUGAACGCUGGUGGCAGGCCUAACACAUGCAAGUCGAACGGUAACAGGAAACAGCUUGCUGUUUCGCUGACGAGUGGCGGACGGGUGAGUAAUGUCUGGGAAACUGCCUGAUGGAGGGGGAUAACUACUGGAAACGGUAGCUAAUACCGCAUAACGUCGCAAGACCAAAGAGGGGGACCCUCGGGCCUCUUGCCAUCGGAUGUGCCCAGAUGGGAUUAGCUUGUUGGUGGGGUAACGGCUCACCAAGGCGACGAUCCCUAGCUGGUCUGAGAGGAUGACCAGCCACACUGGAACUGAGACACGGUCCAGACUCCUACGGGAGGCAGCAGUGGGGAAUAUUGCACAAUGGGCGCAAGCCUGAUGCAGCCAUGCCGCGUGUAUGAAGAAGGCCUUCGGGUUGUAAAGUACUUUCAGCGGGGAGGAAGGGAGUAAAGUUAAUACCUUUGCUCAUUGACGUUACCCGCAGAAGAAGCACCGGCUAACUCCGUG
This 490-nucleotide ribosomal RNA is filed under the name uncultured bacterium. RNAcentral describes it as "partial 16S ribosomal RNA". It matches the Rfam family "Bacterial small subunit ribosomal RNA", at positions 30 to 507 of the family's 1533-position model. The record is from RNAcentral.